Molecule: ribosomal RNA, 499 nt
Filed under: uncultured bacterium
Lineage: Bacteria
Description: partial 16S ribosomal RNA
Rfam family: Bacterial small subunit ribosomal RNA
Source: RNAcentral
ACGAACGCUGGCGGCGUGCUUAACACAUGCAAGUCGAACGGUGAAGCACCUUCCUUUUGGUGGGUGUGGAUGAGUGGCGAACGGGUGAGUAACACGUGAGUAACCUGCCCCCUUCUUCUGGAUAACCGCAUGAAAGUGUGGCUAAUACGGGAUAUUCUGUGCCUGCUGCAUGGUGGGUGUGGGAAAGAUGCGCUUUUGGGUGUUUUUGGUGGGGGAUGGGCUCGCGGCCUAUCAGCUUGUAGGUGGGGUGAUGGCCUACCAAGGCGGUGACGGGUAGCCGGCCUGAGAGGGUGGACGGUCACACUGGGACUGAGACACGGCCCAGACUCCUACGGGAGGCAGCAGUGGGGAAUAUUGCACAAUGGGCGCAAGCCUGAUGCAGCGACGCCGCGUGAGGGAUGGAGGCCUUCGGGUUGUAAACCUCUUUCGCCAGUGAAGCAGGCCUGUCCCUUGUGGGUGGGUUGACGGUAGCUGGAUAAGAAGCGCCGGCUAACUACGU